UACGUAGGGUGCGAGCGUUAAUCGGAAUUACUGGGCGUAAAGCGUGCGCAGGCGGUUUUGUAAGCCAGAUGUGAAAUCCCCGGGCUUAACCUGGGAAUGGCAUUUGGGACUGCAAGGCUGGAGUGUGGCAGAGGAGACUGGAAUUCCUGGUGUAGCAGUGAAAUGCGUAGAUAUCAGGAGGAACACCAAUGGCGAAGGCAGCUCGCUGGGACGGUACUGACGCUGAGGCGCGAAAGCGUGGGGAGCAAACAGG
Molecule: ribosomal RNA, 253 nt
Filed under: uncultured bacterium
Lineage: Bacteria
Description: partial 16S ribosomal RNA
Rfam family: Bacterial small subunit ribosomal RNA
Source: RNAcentral